Molecule: non-coding RNA, 702 nt
Organism: Camellia sinensis
Lineage: Eukaryota; Viridiplantae; Streptophyta; Magnoliopsida; Ericales; Theaceae
Source: RefSeq, a predicted model, not a curated record
CCAAACAUGUCCUGGAGGACAAGAAUCAACUACUCAUCCUAAUACGUAAAUUUCCAGAGGGCAUUGCUGUUAUUGAUCUCAAGGAUGCAUACCCAACUGUCAUGGAGGAUCUACAGGCUUUGAAAGCUGCUGGUGAAAUCUGGCUGUUGUCGAACUUCGACUCGCAAAGACAUAGCCUAUCCAAAUGACCCUCAAGUGCCAAUCAAGGUUGAUGACGACCUGAAACUGCUAUUCCAGGGAAUUGAACUACCACGUGAUAUGAUUGACAUUGAGAAAGAAUCUUCAAAAGAACGGGAUGAAGCCCGCCAAAACACUGCAAAAAUCUAGACUACACAUUAAUUUGUCAUUAGCAUGAUCCGUUGAAAAAUAAUGGUGGAUCUUAUUAUUUUAUAGAUAUGAUAGGUCCUAUAUUUAUACAUAUGGUUCGUACGUAGGAGGUAAAAGAAAGGGGGUAAAUAUUCAUGUAUCAUUUUCUUAGUCAUCAAGCCAAGACAUACUCUCUGAGGAAUGAACUGUCUAGUACAAAUUUGACUCCAUUUUCAUUUGGCAGACUUAGCUCGAACAGCAUUACACUCUGGUAGGGGCCUCCCCAUCAACCAUAACUCAGUUGUAUCCAAUUUGCAGUCAUGUGUGAGAAAUUGUUUCUCUAGUUGAUGAUAAAGUAUAAUUUUUAUGCUAAAUGAAAUAUGUAGUUUCGAAUUA